UGAUUCUGGCUCAGGAUGAACGCUGGCGGCGUGCUUAACACAUGCAAGUCGAACGGGAUCCAUCAGGCUUUGCUUGGUGGUGAGAGUGGCGAACGGGUGAGUAAUGCGUGACCGACCUGCCCCAUACACCGGAAUAGCUCCUGGAAACGGGUGGUAAUGCCGGAUGCUCCAGUUGAUCGCAUGGUCUUCUGGGAAAGCUUUCGCGGUAUGGGAUGGGGUCGCGUCCUAUCAGCUUGACGGCGGGGUAACGGCCCACCGUGGCUUCGACGGGUAGCCGGCCUGAGAGGGCGACCGGCCACAUUGGGACUGAGAUACGGCCCAGACUCCUACGGGAGGCAGCAGUGGGGAAUAUUGCACAAUGGGCGCAAGCUGAUGCAGCGACGCCGCGUGAGGGAUGGAGGCCUUCGGGUUGUAAACCUCUUUUAUCGGGGAGCAAGCGAGAGUGAGUUUACCCGUUGAAUAAGCACCGGCUAACUACGUGCCAGCAGCCGCGGUAAUACGUAGGGUGCAAGCGUUAUCCGGAAUUAUUGGGCGUAAAGGGCUCGUAGGCGGUUCGUCGCGUCCGGUGUGAAAGUCCACCGCUUAACGGUGGAUCCGCGCCGGGUACGGGCGGGCUUGAGUGCGGUAGGGGAGACUGGAAUUCCCGGUGUAACGGUGGAAUGUGUAGAUAUCGGGAAGAACACCAAUGGCGAAGGCAGGUCUCUGGGCCGUUACUGACGCUGAGGAGCGAAAGCKGNGGGAGCGAACAGGAUUAGAUACCCUGGUAGUCCACGCCGUAAACGGUGGAUGCUGGAUGUGGGGCCCGUUCCACGGGUUCCGUGUCGGAGCUAACGCGUUAAGCAUCCCGCCUGGGGAGUACGGCCGCAAGGUAAAAACUCAAAGAAAUUGACGGGGGCCCGCACAAGCGGCGGACAUGCGGAUUAAUUCGAUGCAACGCGAAGAACCUUACCUGGGCUUGACAUGUUCCCGACGGUCGUAGAGAUACGGCUUCCCUUCGGGGCGGGUUCACAGGUGGUGCAUGGUCGUCGUCAGCUCGUGUCGUGAGAUGUUGGGUUAAGUCCGAACGACGCACCCUCGCCGUGUGCAGCGAUAUGCGGGAAUACGGACGCGGUAAUCGAG
Molecule: ribosomal RNA, 1119 nt
Filed under: uncultured bacterium (human infant) L14C
Lineage: Bacteria
Description: bacterial SSU rRNA
Rfam family: Bacterial small subunit ribosomal RNA
Source: RNAcentral